This 437-nucleotide ribosomal RNA is filed under the name uncultured Fastidiosipila sp. RNAcentral's name for it is "partial 16S ribosomal RNA". It matches the Rfam family "Bacterial small subunit ribosomal RNA", at positions 341 to 792 of the family's 1533-position model. The record is from RNAcentral. Lineage: Bacteria; Bacillati; Bacillota; Clostridia; Eubacteriales; Oscillospiraceae.
ACGGAAGGCAGCAGUGGGGAAUAUUGGGCAAUGGGCGAAAGCCUGACCCAGCGACGCCGCGUGAAGGAAGAAGGUCUUCGGAUUGUAAACUUCAGUCAACAGGGAAGAAACAAAUGACGGUACCUGUGGAGGAAGCCACGGCUAACUACGUGCCAGCAGCCGCGGUAAUACGUAGGGAGCAAGCGUUAUCCGGAAUUACUGGGUGUAAAGGGAGUGUAGGCGGGACUGUAAGUCAGAUGUGAAAUAUGCCGGCUCAACUGGCAGACUGCAUUUGAAACUGCGGUUCUUGAGUGAAGUAGAGGUAAGCGGAAUUCCUAGUGUAGCGGUGAAAUGCGUAGAUAUUAGGAGGAACACCAGUGGCGAAGGCGGCUUACUGGACGAUAACUGACGUUGAGGCUCGAAAGCGUGGGGAGCAAACAGGAUUAGAUACCCUGGUA